GACGAACGCUAGCGGCGUGCUUAACACAUGCAAGUCGAGCGGUAAGGCCCUUCGGGGUACACGAGCGGCGAACGGGUGAGUAACACGUGGGUGAUCUGCCUUGCACUUCGGGAUAAGCCUGGGAAACUGGGUCUAAUACCGGAUAUGACCACUGAUCGCAUGGUCGGUGGUGGAAAGAUUUAUCGGUGCGAGAUGGGGCCCGCGGCCUAUCAGCUUGUUGGUGAGGUAACGGCUCACCAAGGCGACGACGGGUAGCCGACCUGAGAGGGUGACCGGCCACACUGGGACUGAGACACGGCCCAGACUCCUACGGGAGGCUG
Molecule: ribosomal RNA, 320 nt
Filed under: uncultured Actinomycetes bacterium
Lineage: Bacteria; Bacillati; Actinomycetota; Actinomycetes
Description: bacterial SSU rRNA
Rfam family: Bacterial small subunit ribosomal RNA
Source: RNAcentral